GCCCACAGACCCAAUACUGUGAGCUUCAUCAAUGUAGAGAGUUAUGAAAACAUUGAUUUUGGUGAGCUCCCCAUGGUGGGAGGACUUUGCCCGUGGUGAGAAGCCACAAGUUCAAAGGAGGCUUCCUGUAAAUAUCAACAAGGUUGAAAGGAACCGUGAGAGGUAUAAUGAACUAACCCUAGUGUUGAAGACACAAGCAUGCUAGCAUUUGGCUGAGUUUGCCUGGGGUGGCGGCAGUGCUGGCAGCUGGCUCACUUCCUAUUCUCUGGGAGCCUCCAACUUCAGAGUUGUCAACACUUGAAGGCAGUGGGACAACUAGCCUUUCUUUGCAAAAUAUUUGGAGACUUCUGGACACAUUAAUAAUAGCUU
Long non-coding RNA from Eptesicus fuscus (big brown bat), 369 nucleotides. RefSeq lists it as uncharacterized. NCBI's taxonomy places the organism in Eukaryota, Metazoa, Chordata, Mammalia, Chiroptera, Vespertilionidae. The record is from RefSeq and is a predicted model, not a curated record. The transcript is spliced from 3 exons.